Molecule: ribosomal RNA, 405 nt
Filed under: uncultured bacterium
Lineage: Bacteria
Description: partial 16S ribosomal RNA
Rfam family: Bacterial small subunit ribosomal RNA
Source: RNAcentral
AUUGAACGCUGGCGGCAGGCUUAACACAUGCAAGUCGAACGCGGGGCGGACGGGAGAGUAAUGCUUGGGAAUCUAGCUUAUGGAGGGGGAUAACUACGGGAACCGGUAGCUAAUACCGCGUACCAUAGGAUGAGCCCAAGUGGGAUGAGGUAGUUGGUGAGGUAAAGGCUCACCAAGCCGACGAUCUAUAGCUGGUCUGAGAGGAUGACCAGCCACACUGGGACUGAGACACGGCCCAGACUCCUACGGGAGGCAGCAGUGGGGAAUAUUGCGCAAUGGGGGCAACCUGACGCAGCAAGGCCGCGUGAAUGAAGAAGGCCUUCGGGUUGUAAAGUUCUUUCGGUAGCGAGGCGUUAACUACAGAGGAAGCAACGGCUAACUCCGUGCCAGCAGCCGCGGUAAUUC